Molecule: transfer RNA, 71 nt
Filed under: Ictidomys tridecemlineatus (thirteen-lined ground squirrel)
Lineage: Eukaryota; Metazoa; Chordata; Mammalia; Rodentia; Sciuridae
Description: Spermophilus tridecemlineatus (thirteen-lined ground squirrel) tRNA
Rfam family: tRNA
About the family: Transfer RNA (tRNA) molecules are approximately 80 nucleotides in length. Their secondary structure includes four short double-helical elements and three loops (D, anti-codon, and T loops). Further hydrogen bonds mediate the characteristic L-shaped molecular structure. tRNAs have two regions of fundamental functional importance: the anti-codon, which is responsible for specific mRNA codon recognition, and the 3' end, to which the tRNAs corresponding amino acid is attached (by aminoacyl-tRNA synthetases). tRNAs cope with the degeneracy of the genetic code in two manners: having more than one tRNA (with a specific anti-codon) for a particular amino acid; and 'wobble' base-pairing, i.e. permitting non-standard base-pairing at the 3rd anti-codon position.
Source: Rfam by way of RNAcentral
GUGGUUGUGGCUUAGAGAUAAAGUGCUCGCCUAGCAUGCAAGAUGCACUGGGUUCGAUCCUCAGCACCACA